UCAUAUGUGGAUUGAAAGCUUUGAUAUUUUGAAGUUAGGUGUUACAUUUGGUGUCACACCAUGAAUGUGCAUUUUCAUGAUUUUCAAUAGCAUGCUUCCUUACAUCCAAAUGACCCCAAAUUUUGCAUGAUCCCUCCCUUACAUGUCUAGUUCAUGUGUGAAUUUUCUUGGAAUUAAUUGUGCUGUUUUCCAUUUAUUUGAGAUUUUU
This 208-nucleotide long non-coding RNA is filed under the name Lathyrus oleraceus (garden pea). RNAcentral describes it as "Pisum sativum (pea) long non-coding RNA (PSAT_LNC042299)". Lineage: Eukaryota; Viridiplantae; Streptophyta; Magnoliopsida; Fabales; Fabaceae. The record is from RNAcentral.